Molecule: ribosomal RNA, 320 nt
Filed under: Photobacterium phosphoreum
Lineage: Bacteria; Pseudomonadati; Pseudomonadota; Gammaproteobacteria; Vibrionales; Vibrionaceae
Description: bacterial LSU rRNA
Rfam family: Bacterial large subunit ribosomal RNA
Source: RNAcentral
AGGCGAUGAAGGACGUAUUAACUUGCGAUAAGCCCAGAUUAGGCAGUAAAAGCCUCUUGAGUCUGGGAUUUCCGAAUGGGGAAACCCACUUGCAUAAGCAAGUAUCAUUAACUGAAUACAUAGGUUAAUGAAGCGAACCGGGGGAACUGAAACAUCUAAGUACCCCGAGGAAGAGAAAUCAACCGAGAUUCCGGUAGUAGCGGCGAGCGAAACCGGAUUAGCCCUUAAGCUAGUUCUGCGUUAGGUGAAUGUGCUGGAAAGCACAGCGAUACAGGGUGAUAGCCCCGUAACCAAAAAUGCAUUAAUAGUGAAAUCGAGUA